AGCUUUGUGCAGUGGCAAUAUUGUAGCCAAUGAGGUUUAUCCGAGGCUCGAUUGUUGCUAAUUGAAAAAAAAAAAAAAGGAAAGUAAGGACUUUGGUUUAGCUUGGUAGAUCCUUAAACCCCAAAUGUGGGAGACUUUAUUUAUUUAUUUAUUUGAGAUGGGAUCUCA
This 168-nucleotide small nuclear RNA is filed under the name Callithrix jacchus (white-tufted-ear marmoset). RNAcentral's name for it is "U4 spliceosomal RNA (ENSCJAG00000056005.2)". The stretch from base 1 to 131 matches the Rfam family "U4 spliceosomal RNA". Rfam says of the family: U4 small nuclear RNA (U4 snRNA) is a component of the major U2-dependent spliceosome. Lineage: Eukaryota; Metazoa; Chordata; Mammalia; Primates; Cebidae. The record is from RNAcentral.